GACGAACGCUGGCGGCGUGCUUAACACAUGCAAGUCGAACGCUGAAGACCUGGCUUUUGUUGGGUUGGAUGAGUGGCGAACGGGUGAGUAACACGUGAGUAAGCUGCCCUCUUCUUUGGGAUAACGCCCGGAAACGGGUGCUAAUACUGGAUAUUCACUGAUCUUCGCAUGGGGGUUGGUGGAAAGGUUUGUUCUGGUGGGGGAUGGGCUCGCGGCCUAUCAGCUUGUUGGUGGGGUGAUGGCCUACCAAGGCUUUGACGGGUAGCCGGCCUGAGAGGGUGACCGGUCACAUUGGGACUGAGAUACGGCCCAGACUCCUACGGGAGGCAGCAGUGGGGAAUAUUGCACAAUGGGCGAAAGCCUGAUGCAGCGACGCCGCGUGAGGGAUGGAGGCCUUCGGGUUGUAAACCUCUUUCGCUCAUGGUCAAGCCGCAACUGUGGGUUGUGGUGAGGGUAGUGGGUAAAGAAGCGCCGGCUAACUACGUG
Molecule: ribosomal RNA, 486 nt
Filed under: uncultured bacterium
Lineage: Bacteria
Description: partial 16S ribosomal RNA
Rfam family: Bacterial small subunit ribosomal RNA
Source: RNAcentral